GACGAACGCUGGCGGCGUGCUUAACACAUGCAAGUCGAACGGAAAGGCCCUGCUUUUGUGGGGUGCUCGCGUGGCGAACGGGUGAGUAACACGUGAGUAACCUGCCCUUGACUUUGGGAUAACUUCAGGAAACUGGGGCUAAUACAGGAUAGGAGCUCCUGCAGCAUGGUGGGGGUUGGAAAGUUUCGGCGGUUGGGGAUGGACUCGGGGAUUAUCAGUUUGUGGGGUGGGUAGUGGCUUACCAAGGCUUUGGGGGGUGGCCGGCCGGAGCGGGGGACCGGCCACGUUGGGACUGGGAGGCGGCCGAGACGCCUACGGGAGGCAGGAGGGGGGAAUAUUGCACAAUGGGCGGGAGCCUGAUGCAGCACCUCCGCGUGCGGGAUGACUGCCUUCGGGUUGUAAACCGCUUUCGCCUGUGACGAAGCGUGUGUGACGGUAAUGGGUAAAGACGCACCCGCUCUCUACG
RNAcentral lists this ribosomal RNA (466 nucleotides) under uncultured bacterium. RNAcentral describes it as "partial 16S ribosomal RNA". It matches the Rfam family "Bacterial small subunit ribosomal RNA", at positions 28 to 505 of the family's 1533-position model. The record is from RNAcentral.